Molecule: ribosomal RNA, 794 nt
Filed under: Methanosaeta sp. enrichment culture clone LA_30
Lineage: Archaea; Methanobacteriati; Methanobacteriota; Methanomicrobia; Methanotrichales; Methanotrichaceae
Description: bacterial SSU rRNA
Rfam family: Archaeal small subunit ribosomal RNA
Source: RNAcentral
ACUGCUCAGUAACACGUGGACAACCUACCCUUGGGUCUGGCAUAAUCCUGGGAAACUGGGUAUAAUUCCAGAUAGGUCACAGAUGCUGGAAUGCACUGUGGCCGAAAGCUCCGGCGCCCAAGGAUGGGUCUGCGGCCUAUCAGGGUUGUAGUGGGUGUAACGGACCUACUAGCCUACGACGGGUACGGGUUGUGAGAGCAAGAGCCCGGAGAUGGAUUCUGAGACACGAAUCCAGGCCCUACGGGGUGCAGCAGGCGCGAAAACUUUACAAUGCGGGAAACCGUGAUAAGGGAAUCUCGAGUGCCAGCAUAUAAUGUUGGCUGUCCAGAUGCCUAAAAAGCAUCUGUUAGCAAGGGCCGGGCAAGACCGGUGCCAGCCGCCGCGGUAACACCGGCGGCCCGAGUGGUAACCGCUUUUAUUGGGUCUAAAGGGUCUGUAGCCGGCCAAGUAAGUCCCUUGGGAAAUCUGGCAGCUUAACUGUCAGGUUGCUAGGGGAUACUGCUAGGCUUGGGACCGGGAGAGGUGAGAGGUACCUUGGGGGUAGGGGUGAAAUCUUGUGAUCCUCGGGGGACCACCAGUGGCGAAGGCGUCUCACCAGAACGGGUCCGACGGUAAGGGACGAAAGCUAGGGGCACGAACCGGAUUAGAUACCCGGGUAGUCCUAGCCGUAAACGAUGCUCGCUAGGUGUCAGUCACGGUGCGACCGUGAUUGGUGCCGUAGGGAAGCCGUGAAGCGAGCCACCUGGGAAGUAUGGCCGCAAGGCUGAAACUUAAAGGAAUUGGCGGGGGAGCAC